CACCCUCAAACCCUCUUCUCUCUCAAAUGCUCUCAAACCAUAAUCGCCGCCCACCUCUUUUCGACCUCAAAUCCACCAGAAUCCAUGGCUGCUCUAGCCAUAGACGACCUACACUCACCUUCUACUGCUCUCACAUGCUCGGUUCCUAAAGAUUCGAGGCCAGUAUUCAAGGGUCUUAACCCAGACCUUUGUCGAUUAGUGGUUUUCAGCCGUUUCCAGCCUUGCUCUGGCUUAUUGUAGCCUACUGAGCCUGGUUCCGGCCUUAUCGACUCAGAUCUGAUCUCGUGACUUCCAAGCCUUUCUCGUCCUUUAGGGUUCUCAGAAACCCUAGCCUAUUCGAGGUUUUUUUCGUUUUAUUUGUUUAGAUCUGUGCUAGAUCUAUGCUGUGUGUGACUUUUUAGAGCUUUUCACCAAAUUUUCUUUUUUCAAAAAUGUUCAAAUCCGAUUUUAGGGUUUCUGAAAAUGACUCCUAAAUGUUUGCUGACUCUUU
This 490-nucleotide long non-coding RNA is filed under the name Nicotiana benthamiana. RNAcentral describes it as "long non-coding RNA (NBEN_LNC015876)". Lineage: Eukaryota; Viridiplantae; Streptophyta; Magnoliopsida; Solanales; Solanaceae. The record is from RNAcentral.